Molecule: non-coding RNA, 241 nt
Organism: Struthio camelus australis
Lineage: Eukaryota; Metazoa; Chordata; Aves; Struthioniformes; Struthionidae
Source: RefSeq, a predicted model, not a curated record
GUAGAAACCAGGAGGCAAUGUGGAGAAAGGCAGAGGCACAGUUGCAAAUCAGAAUAAAAGCUUUGAUAUGAGGAAAUUCAAGUCUAAUUUGAUUGUGAAGCAAGUGGAAGGACCAGAGAAUGUUUACAAACAGAAAAAGAGCUCCAGGUAACUCAGUAAUAUAACAAGAACAACCCCAGAAAAUGACUUUCAUGGUAAAUGGUUAUUUUUAUUGUUUAAUUGCAUAACAUAAGUUAAUAAA